UACGUAGGGGGCAAGCGUUGUCCGGAUUUACUGGGCGUAAAGAGCGUGUAGGCGGCCAAACAGGUCCGUUGUGAAAACUGGAGGCUCAACUUCCAGACGUCGACGGAAACCGUGUGGCUAGAGUCCGGAAGAGGAGAGUGGAAUUCCUGGUGUAGCGGUGAAAUGCGCAGAUAUCAGGAAGAACACCGGUGGCGAAAGCGCUCUGCUAGGCCGCAACUGACACUGAGGGACGAAAGCUAGGGGAGCGAAUGGG
RNAcentral lists this ribosomal RNA (253 nucleotides) under uncultured bacterium. Its description in RNAcentral is "partial 16S ribosomal RNA". It matches the Rfam family "Bacterial small subunit ribosomal RNA", at positions 524 to 776 of the family's 1533-position model. The record is from RNAcentral.